RNAcentral lists this ribosomal RNA (484 nucleotides) under uncultured bacterium. RNAcentral's name for it is "partial 16S ribosomal RNA". It matches the Rfam family "Bacterial small subunit ribosomal RNA", at positions 30 to 507 of the family's 1533-position model. The record is from RNAcentral.
AUUGAACGCUGGCGGAAUGCUUUACACAUGCAAGUCGAACGGCAGCACGGGGGCAACCCUGGUUGCGAGUGGCGAACGGGUGAGUAAUACAUCGGAACGUGCCCGGUCGUGGGGGAUAACGUAGCGAAAGUUACGCUAAUACCGCAUACGAUCUGAGGAUGAAAGCGGGGGACCUUCGGUCCUCGCGCGAUCGGAGCGGCCGAUGUCAGAUUAGGUAGUUGGUGGGGUAAAGGCCUACCAAGCCGACGAUCUGUAGCUGGUCUGAGAGGACGACCAGCCACACUGGGACUGAGACACGGCCCAGACUCCUACGGGAGGCAGCAGUGGGGAAUUUUGGACAAUGGGCGCAAGCCUGAUCCAGCCAUGCCGCGUGCAGGACGAAGGCCUUCGGGUUGUAAACUGCUUUUGUAUGGAACGAAAAGGCUCUGGCUAAUACCUGGGGCUCAUGACGGUACCGUAAGAAUAAGCACCGGCUAACUACGUG